GGACUUAGAUAUUUAUACAGCAAGAACUAGCAUUCAGGCACCCGCAAUAUUAUGAUGGUUUAGAUUCUUCACGUGGGAAGACUUGUGAUCAUCUGAGUUGUUGCCAAGAUCAGAUGAACUAGGAUCUCCUGAUCUUUUAGACGCCUCAGCUGAAGAAGAGGAUUUCUCAUCCCCAAGACUCCCUGAGUCAUCUUGAAAGUCUGCCUUUAAAGAUGGCUUGUCAUCAUCAAUUUUCUCAGCAAUGUCUUCACAGCAUCUUUUUUCCUCGAGUAUCUCAGCGGACACCAAAGGUACAGUAUCAGAUCCUUGAUUGUGCUCGUCAGAUGAAGAAUUAACAGCUGUUCUUGAAGAACUACCUUGCUCUAUUGAAGCCGUACUUGAAGAAUGAGAACCAGAUGGUUCAGAAUUUCUAGCAGCGAGUGCUGCAGUCAAAACAC
RNAcentral lists this long non-coding RNA (437 nucleotides) under Eucalyptus grandis. RNAcentral describes it as "long non-coding RNA (EGRA_LNC001639)". Lineage: Eukaryota; Viridiplantae; Streptophyta; Magnoliopsida; Myrtales; Myrtaceae. The record is from RNAcentral.